Molecule: ribosomal RNA, 2926 nt
Filed under: Escherichia coli
Lineage: Bacteria; Pseudomonadati; Pseudomonadota; Gammaproteobacteria; Enterobacterales; Enterobacteriaceae
Description: bacterial LSU rRNA
Rfam family: Bacterial large subunit ribosomal RNA
Source: RNAcentral
GGGUUGUGAGGUUAAGCGACUAAGCGUACACGGUGGAUGCCCUGGCAGUCAGAGGCGAUGAAGGACGUGCUAAUCUGCGAUAAGCGUCGGUGAGGUGAUAUGAACCGUUAUAACCGGCGAUUUCCGAAUGGGGAAACCCAGUGUGUUUCGACACACUAUCAUUAACUGAAUCCAUAGGUUAAUGAGGCGAACCGGGGGAACUGAAACAUCUAAGUACCCCGAGGAAAAGAAAUCAACCGAGAUUCCCCCAGUAGCGGCGAGCGAACGGGGAGGAGCCCAGAGCCUGAAUCAGUGUGUGUGUUAGUGGAAGCGUCUGGAAAGGCGCGCGAUACAGGGUGACAGCCCCGUACACAAAAAUGCACAUAUUGUGAGCUCGAUGAGUAGGGCGGGACACGUGGUAUCCUGUCUGAAUAUGGGGGGACCAUCCUCCAAGGCUAAAUACUCCUGACUGACCGAUAGUGAACCAGUACCGUGAGGGAAAGGCGAAAAGAACCCCGGCGAGGGGAGUGAAAAAGAACCUGAAACCGUGUACGUACAAGCAGUGGGAGCCUCUUAAUGGGGUGACUGCGUACCUUUUGUAUAAUGGGUCAGCGACUUAUAUUCUGUAGCAAGGUUAACCGAAUAGGGGAGCCGAAGGGAAACCGAGUCUUAACUGGGCGUUAAGUUGCAGGGUAUAGACCCGAAACCCGGUGAUCUAGCCAUGGGCAGGUUGAAGGUUGGGUAACACUAACUGGAGGACCGAACCGACUAAUGUUGAAAAAUUAGCGGAUGACUUGUGGCUGGGGGUGAAAGGCCAAUCAAACCGGGAGAUAGCUGGUUCUCCCCGAAAGCUAUUUAGGUAGCGCCUCGUGAAUUCAUCUCCGGGGGUAGAGCACUGUUUCGGCAAGGGGGUCAUCCCGACUUACCAACCCGAUGCAAACUGCGAAUACCGGAGAAUGUUAUCACGGGAGACACACGGCGGGUGCUAACGUCCGUCGUGAAGAGGGAAACAACCCAGACCGCCAGCUAAGGUCCCAAAGUCAUGGUUAAGUGGGAAACGAUGUGGGAAGGCCCAGACAGCCAGGAUGUUGGCUUAGAAGCAGCCAUCAUUUAAAGAAAGCGUAAUAGCUCACUGGUCGAGUCGGCCUGCGCGGAAGAUGUAACGGGGCUAAACCAUGCACCGAAGCUGCGGCAGCGACGCUUAUGCGUUGUUGGGUAGGGGAGCGUUCUGUAAGCCUGUGAAGGUGGCCUGUGAGGGUUGCUGGAGGUAUCAGAAGUGCGAAUGCUGACAUAAGUAACGAUAAAGCGGGUGAAAAGCCCGCUCGCCGGAAGACCAAGGGUUCCUGUCCAACGUUAAUCGGGGCAGGGUGAGUCGACUCCUAAGGCGAGGCCGAAAGGCGUAGUCGAUGGGAAACAGGUUAAUAUUCCUGUACUUGGUGUUACUGCGAAGGGGGGACGGAGAAGGCUAUGUUGGCCGGGCGACGGUUGUCCCGGUUUAAGCGUGUAGGCUGGUUUUCCAGGCAAAUCCGGAAAACCAAGGCUGAGGCGUGAUGACGAGGCACUACGGUGCUGAAGUGACAAAUGCCCUGCUUCCAGGAAAAGCCUCUAAGCAUCAGGUAACAUCAAAUCGUACCCCAAACCGACACAGGUGGUCAGGUAGAGAAUACCAAGGCGCUUGAGAGAACUCGGGUGAAGGAACUAGGCAAAAUGGUGCCGUAACUUCGGGAGAAGGCACGCUGAUAUGUAGGUGAAGCGACUUGCUCGUGGAGCUGAAAUCAGUCGAAGAUACCAGCUGGCUGCAACUGUUUAUUAAAAACACAGCACUGUGCAAACACGAAAGUGGACGUAUACGGUGUGACGCCUGCCCGGUGCCGGAAGGUUAAUUGAUGGGGUUAGCGGUAACGCGAAGCUCUUGAUCGAAGCCCCGGUAAACGGCGGCCGUAACUAUAACGGUCCUAAGGUAGCGAAAUUCCUUGUCGGGUAAGUUCCGACCUGCACGAAUGGCGUAAUGAUGGCCAGGCUGUCUCCACCCGAGACUCAGUGAAAUUGAACUCGCUGUGAAGAUGCAGUGUACCCGCGGCAAGACGGAAAGACCCCGUGAACCUUUACUAUAGCUUGACACUGAACAUUGAGCCUUGAUGUGUAGGAUAGGUGGGAGGCUUUGAAGUGUGGACGCCAGUCUGCAUGGAGCCGACCUUGAAAUACCACCCUUUAAUGUUUGAUGUUCUAACGUUGGCCCCUGAUCGGGGUUGCGGACAGUGUCUGGUGGGUAGUUUGACUGGGGCGGUCUCCUCCUAAAGAGUAACGGAGGAGCACGAAGGUUGGCUAAUCCUGGUCGGACAUCAGGAGGUUAGUGCAAUGGCAUAAGCCAGCUUGACUGCGAGCGUGACGGCGCGAGCAGGUGCGAAAGCAGGUCAUAGUGAUCCGGUGGUUCUGAAUGGAAGGGCCAUCGCUCAACGGAUAAAAGGUACUCCGGGGAUAACAGGCUGAUACCGCCCAAGAGUUCAUAUCGACGGCGGUGUUUGGCACCUCGAUGUCGGCUCAUCACAUCCUGGGGCUGAAGUAGGUCCCAAGGGUAUGGCUGUUCGCCAUUUAAAGUGGUACGCGAGCUGGGUUUAGAACGUCGUGAGACAGUUCGGUCCCUAUCUGCCGUGGGCGCUGGAGAACUGAGGGGGGCUGCUCCUAGUACGAGAGGACCGGAGUGGACGCAUCACUGGUGUUCGGGUUGUCAUGCCAAUGGCACUGCCCGGUAGCUAAAUGCGGAAGAGAUAAGUGCUGAAAGCAUCUAAGCACGAAACUUGCCCCGAGAUGAGUUCUCCCUGAGACUUAGAGUCUCCUGAAGGAACGUUGAAGACGACGACGUUGAUAGGCCGGGUGUGUAAGCGCAGCGAUGCGUUGAGCUAACCGGUACUAAUGAACCGUGAGGCUUAACCUUACAACGCCGAAG